This 501-nucleotide ribosomal RNA is filed under the name uncultured bacterium. RNAcentral's name for it is "partial 16S ribosomal RNA". It matches the Rfam family "Bacterial small subunit ribosomal RNA", at positions 30 to 523 of the family's 1533-position model. The record is from RNAcentral.
AUUGAACGCUGGCGGCAGGCUUAACACAUGCAAGUCGAGCGGAGCGAGGGUGCUUGCACCUUAGCUUAGCGGCGGACGGGUGAGUAAUGCUUAGGAAUCUGCCUAUUAGUGGGGGACAACAUUCCGAAAGGAAUGCUAAUACCGCAUACGCCCUACGGGGGAAAGCAGGGGAUCUUCGGACCUUGCGCUAAUAGAUGAGACUAAGUCGGAUUAGCUAGUUGGUGGGGUAAAGGCCUACCAAGGCGACGAUCUGUAGCGGGUCUGAGAGGAUGAUCCGCCACAGUGGGACUGAGACACGGCCCAGACUCCUACGGGGGGCAGCAGUGGGGACUAUUGGACGAUGGGCGGAAGCCUGAUCCAGCCAUGCCGCGUGUGUGAAGAAGGCCUUUUGGUUGUAAAGCACUUUAAGCGAGGAGGAGGCUACUUAGAUUAAUACUCUGGGAUAGUGGACGUUACUCGCAGAAUAAGCACCGGCUAACUCUGUGCCAGCCGCCGCCGUAA